Molecule: small nuclear RNA, 157 nt
Filed under: Prolemur simus (greater bamboo lemur)
Lineage: Eukaryota; Metazoa; Chordata; Mammalia; Primates; Lemuridae
Description: U1 spliceosomal RNA (ENSPSMG00000024124.1)
Rfam family: U1 spliceosomal RNA
About the family: U1 is a small nuclear RNA (snRNA) component of the spliceosome (involved in pre-mRNA splicing). Its 5' end forms complementary base pairs with the 5' splice junction, thus defining the 5' donor site of an intron.
Source: RNAcentral
AUGCUUACCUGGCAGGGGAAAGACUAUGAUUAUGAAGGUGGUCCAGGGUCAGGCUUAUCCACUGCACUUUGGUGUGCUGACCCCUGCGAUUUCCUCAAAUGUAGGAAACUUGAUUUCAUAAUUUGUGGUCUGAGGAACUGUGUUCAUGCUAUCCCCU